AAAAAUAUUUUAAAAAUUCAUAAUAAUAUAUUUUAUAUUUUUUAAUAAUUAAUUAAUCAUGUACUAAUCUAUUACUACGUUUUUUCGCCGAAUAACAACUUACAUCCCUUCUCGCCGAACGCGGCCUCAGAGAGCCAGGAUAUAAGUAGGUACACAGUCCCAAACACAAGUCCACUCCAACCAUUCCAUGGAGGAGAGCUUGGGAACAAUUUACCACCAACAAGAGCCAGCAGAGAGAGGAUACAACCUUCUUACCUAGAUAGUGAUUAGUGAAGCAAGCUGGGUUAGACAACAACCAGCAAGCUUCAUCAUCGCAGAGCUGCUGCCCGUAGGAAUCAGACGCUCGACUGCGGCAAAUCCAUAUCCGGCCCGGCAACAAGGUGAUUUCGCGUUCACGAAAUAACUUCAGAUCAAUGCAUAAUUUUUUUUCUAGCCUCAAACCUGUCUCUCUCACACACACAGAAACACACCAAGAUUAGCUUCUCUCCAAGUAGCAUCAUUAGCAAGAAAGUUUGGCUAUAGUCGAAGAUCUAGUCGUACUAGCUAGCAUGAAACAAAAAAAAAAACGUCUGAAAUUUUGACAGCCGCAUGCGAUGUUUUGCAACCU
RNAcentral lists this long non-coding RNA (607 nucleotides) under Oryza brachyantha (malo sina). RNAcentral describes it as "long non-coding RNA (OBRA_LNC000792)". The record is from RNAcentral. Lineage: Eukaryota; Viridiplantae; Streptophyta; Magnoliopsida; Poales; Poaceae.